UUAGAGUUUGAUCCUGGCUCAGAUUGAACGCUGGCGGCAUGCCUUACACAUGCAAGUCGAACGGUAACAGGGAGCUUGCUCCGCUGACGAGUGGCGAACGGGUGAGUAAUAUAUCGGAACAUACCCUAGAGUGGGGGAUAACGUAGCGAAAGUUACGCUAAUACCGCAUACGAACUAAGGUUGAAAGUGGGGGCUCGCAAGACCUCAUGCUCAUGGAGUGGCCGAUAUCUGAUUAGCUAGUUGGUGAGGUAAAGGCUCACCAAGGCGACGAUCAGUAGCUGGUUUGAGAGAACGACCAGCCACACUGGAACUGAGACACGGUCCAGACUCCUACGGGAGGCAGCAGUGGGGAAUUUUGGACAAUGGGGGCAACCCUGAUCCAGCAAUGCCGCGUGAGUGAAGAAGGCCUUCGGGUUGUAAAGCUCUUUUGUCAGGGAAGAAACGGUGAGGUCUAAUACACUUUACUAAUGACGGUACCUGAAGAAUAAGCACCGGCUAACUACGUGCCAGCAGCCGCGGUAAUACGUAGGGUGCAAGCGUUAAUCGGAAUUACUGGGCGUAAAGCGUGCGCAGGCGGUUAUAUAAGUCAGAUGUGAAAUCCCCGGGCUCAACCUGGGAACUGCAUUUGAGACUGUAUGGCUAGAGUGUGUCAGAGGGGGGUAGAAUUCCACGUGUAGCAGUGAAAUGCGUAGAUAUGUGGAGGAAUACCGAUGGCGAAGGCAGCCCCCUGGGAUAACACUGACGCUCAUGCACGAAAGCGUGGGGAGCAAACAGGAUUAGAUACCCUGGUAGUCCACGCCCUAAACGAUGUCUACUAGUUGUUGGGUCUUAAUUGACUUAGUAACGCAGCUAACGCGUGAAGUAGACCGCCUGGGGAGUACGGUCGCAAGAUUAAAACUCAAAGGAAUUGACGGGGACCCGCACAAGCGGUGGAUGAUGUGGAUUAAUUCGAUGCAACGCGAAAAACCUUACCUACCCUUGACAUGUACAGAAUGCCGAAGAGAUUUGGCGGUGCUCGCAAGAGAACUGUAACACAGGUGCUGCAUGGCUGUCGUCAGCUCGUGUCGUGAGAUGUUGGGUUAAGUCCCGCAACGAGCCCAACCCUUGGCAUUAUUUGCUACUUUAAGUUGAGCACUCUAAUGGAACUGCCGGUGACAACCCGAAGAAAGGUGGGGAU
This 1177-nucleotide ribosomal RNA is filed under the name uncultured bacterium. RNAcentral's name for it is "bacterial SSU rRNA". It matches the Rfam family "Bacterial small subunit ribosomal RNA", at positions 1 to 1180 of the family's 1533-position model. The record is from RNAcentral.